UGGGGAAUAUUGGACAAUGGGCGAAAGCCUGAUCCAGCCAUGCCGCGUGUGUGAAGAAGGUCUUCGGAUUGUAAAGCACUUUAAGUUGGGAGGAAGGGCAGUAAGCGAAUACCUUGCUGUUUUGACGUUACCGACAGAAUAAGCACCGGCUAACUCUGUGCCAGCAGCCGUGGUAAUACAGAGGGUGCAAGCGUUAAUCGGAAUUACUGGGCGUAAAGCGCGCGUAGGUGGUUCGUUAAGUUGAAUGUGAAAGCCCCGGGCUCAACCUGGGAACUGCAUCCAAAACUGGCGAGCUAGAGUAGGGCAGAGGGUGGUGGAAUUUCCUGUGUAGCGGAGAAAUGCGUAGAUAUAGGAAGGAACACCAGUGGCGAAGGCGACCACCUGGGCUCAUACUGACACUGAGGUGCGAAAGCGUGGGGAGCAAACAGG
Molecule: ribosomal RNA, 429 nt
Filed under: Pseudomonadota bacterium
Lineage: Bacteria; Pseudomonadati; Pseudomonadota
Description: Proteobacteria bacterium partial 16S ribosomal RNA
Rfam family: Bacterial small subunit ribosomal RNA
Source: RNAcentral